RNAcentral lists this long non-coding RNA (430 nucleotides) under Setaria viridis. RNAcentral's name for it is "long non-coding RNA (SVIR_LNC000252)". The record is from RNAcentral. Lineage: Eukaryota; Viridiplantae; Streptophyta; Magnoliopsida; Poales; Poaceae.
CUGCCAGCUUUUGAUGAGAAGUUAGUCCUAUUGUUCAUAGCACAUUUAUUGUCCACACAAUUUUUCUGUCUAUAGAGUAUACAACAGAUUAGAUGCAUUUCCUGGUCAAGUGGACUGGCAACGUGCAUCCAUGUAUGCUGUUGAGCCUGAAAAAGAGAACAUGUGUUCUUCAUUUUAAAGGAAUAAUAUUUUAUUCGCCACUGCAAAUGUCUCUAAUCAGAAAAACGCCAUCGCAAAAGAACUAAUCCGAAAUAUAUCAAUAUUACCCUCAUCUUGUACAUCCGGUCAUUCUAGGCUUCUAGCUCUGCCUCUAUUCUUGUGUAGUUAUAUCUAUCCUCCUCAAAAGAACAGAGCAAUACAAUACCGCCCAUCUCACUCUACUCCCAUAAGAAGCACGGUGAACGAGACAUGGUGAGCUCCCUCUCUGCUG